RNAcentral lists this ribosomal RNA (468 nucleotides) under uncultured bacterium. RNAcentral's name for it is "partial 16S ribosomal RNA". It matches the Rfam family "Bacterial small subunit ribosomal RNA", at positions 28 to 507 of the family's 1533-position model. The record is from RNAcentral.
GAUGAACGCUGGCGGCGUGCUUAACACAUGCAAGUCGAACGGAAAGGCCCAAGCUUGCUUGGGUACUCGAGUGGCGAACGGGUGAGUAACACGUGGGUGAUCUGCCCUGCACUUCGGGAUAAGCCUGGGAAACUGGGUCUAAUACCGGAUAGGACGAUGGUUUGGAUGCCAUUGUGGAAAGUUUUUUCGGUGUGGGAUGAGCUCGCGGCCUAUCAGCUUGUUGGUGGGGUAAUGGCCUACCAAGGCGUCGACGGGUAGCCGGCCUGAGAGGGUGUACGGCCACAUUGGGACUGAGAUACGGCCCAGACUCCGACGGGAGGCAGCAGUGGGGAAUAUUGGACAAUGGGCGCAAGCCUGAUGCAGCGACGCCGCGUGGGGGAUGACGGCCUUCGGGUUGUAAACUCCUUUCGCUAGGGACGAAGCGUUUUUGUGACGGUACCUGGAGAAGAAGCACCGGCUAACUACGUG